This 2023-nucleotide ribosomal RNA is filed under the name Parabacteroides merdae. Its description in RNAcentral is "bacterial SSU rRNA". The stretch from base 1 to 1520 matches the Rfam family "Bacterial small subunit ribosomal RNA". Lineage: Bacteria; Pseudomonadati; Bacteroidota; Bacteroidia; Bacteroidales; Tannerellaceae. The record is from RNAcentral.
GUUUGAUCCUGGCUCAGGAUGAACGCUAGCGACAGGCUUAACACAUGCAAGUCGAGGGGCAGCAUGAUUUGUAGCAAUACAGAUUGAUGGCGACCGGCGCACGGGUGAGUAACGCGUAUGCAACUUACCUAUCAGAGGGGGAUAGCCCGGCGAAAGUCGGAUUAAUACCCCAUAAAACAGGGGUCCCGCAUGGGAAUAUUUGUUAAAGAUUCAUCGCUGAUAGAUAGGCAUGCGUUCCAUUAGGCAGUUGGCGGGGUAACGGCCCACCAAACCGACGAUGGAUAGGGGUUCUGAGAGGAAGGUCCCCCACAUUGGUACUGAGACACGGACCAAACUCCUACGGGAGGCAGCAGUGAGGAAUAUUGGUCAAUGGCCGAGAGGCUGAACCAGCCAAGUCGCGUGAAGGAAGAAGGAUCUAUGGUUUGUAAACUUCUUUUAUAGGGGAAUAAAGUGGAGGACGUGUCCUUUUUUGUAUGUACCCUAUGAAUAAGCAUCGGCUAACUCCGUGCCAGCAGCCGCGGUAAUACGGAGGAUGCGAGCGUUAUCCGGAUUUAUUGGGUUUAAAGGGUGCGUAGGUGGUGAUUUAAGUCAGCGGUGAAAGUUUGUGGCUCAACCAUAAAAUUGCCGUUGAAACUGGGUUACUUGAGUGUGUUUGAGGUAGGCGGAAUGCGUGGUGUAGCGGUGAAAUGCAUAGAUAUCACGCAGAACUCCGAUUGCGAAGGCAGCUUACUAAACCAUAACUGACACUGAAGCACGAAAGCGUGGGGAUCAAACAGGAUUAGAUACCCUGGUAGUCCACGCAGUAAACGAUGAUUACUAGGAGUUUGCGAUACAAUGUAAGCUCUACAGCGAAAGCGUUAAGUAAUCCACCUGGGGAGUACGCCGGCAACGGUGAAACUCAAAGGAAUUGACGGGGGCCCGCACAAGCGGAGGAACAUGUGGUUUAAUUCGAUGAUACGCGAGGAACCUUACCCGGGUUUGAACGUAGUCUGACCGGAGUGGAAACACUCCUUCUAGCAAUAGCAGAUUACGAGGUGCUGCAUGGUUGUCGUCAGCUCGUGCCGUGAGGUGUCGGCUUAAGUGCCAUAACGAGCGCAACCCUUAUCACUAGUUACUAACAGGUGAAGCUGAGGACUCUGGUGAGACUGCCAGCGUAAGCUGUGAGGAAGGUGGGGAUGACGUCAAAUCAGCACGGCCCUUACAUCCGGGGCGACACACGUGUUACAAUGGCAUGGACAAAGGGCAGCUACCUGGCGACAGGAUGCUAAUCUCCAAACCAUGUCUCAGUUCGGAUCGGAGUCUGCAACUCGACUCCGUGAAGCUGGAUUCGCUAGUAAUCGCGCAUCAGCCAUGGCGCGGUGAAUACGUUCCCGGGCCUUGUACACACCGCCCGUCAAGCCAUGGGAGCCGGGGGUACCUGAAGUCCGUAACCGCAAGGACGGCCUAGGGUAAAACUGGUGACUGGGGCUAAGUCGUAACAAGGUAGCCGUACCGGAAGGUGCGGCUGGAACACCUCCUUUCUGGAGCUGGAAUCUCUAGAUUAAGUCCGAUGAGGUAUGUAGCUCUCUGGUACUACGGUUGAAUAUGUAUAUAUAUAUGAUCUUAAACUGGAAAGACCAGUAUAUAGAGAGAAAGAUGAUGCUGAGAUGAAAAUUUCAGGCACAUAACGGUUGACAGUCCUAUAGCUCAGUUGGUUAGAGCGCUACACUGAUAAUGUAGAGGUCGGCAGUUCAACUCUGCCUGGGACUACCAGUUGAAAAACGGGGGAUUAGCUCAGCUGGCUAGAGCAUCUGCUUUGCACGCAGAGGGUCAACGGUUCGAAUCCGUUAUUUUCCACGAUAAACUCCGUAAGGGGUAAAAAAAGAUCUUUGACGUAUUGGACAACUUCAAAAAAGUAAAGUAACAAAAAAAUAGAGCAAGCUGAAGAUAUAUCAAUCCGACACGGGCUUCAAUUUUAGCAAUAAAAGGAAGCAGUGUCAGUGAUAAAGAAAGUAAGCAAGGGCAGACGGUGGAUGCCUUGGCG